AACGCUAGCUACAGGCUUAACACAUGCAAGUCGAGGGGCAGCGGGAUUGAAGCUUGCUUCAAUUGCCGGCGACCGGCGCACGGGUGAGUAACGCGUAUCCAACCUUCCGUUUACUCAGGGAUAGCCUUUCGAAAGAAAGAUUAAUACCUGAUAGUAUGGUAAGAUUGCAUGGUAAUACCAUUAAAGAUUCAUCGGUAAACGAUGGGGAUGCGUUCCAUUAGGUAGUAGGCGGGGUAACGGCCCACCUAGCCGACGAUGGAUAGGGGUUCUGAGAGGAAGGUCCCCCACAUUGGAACUGAGACACGGUCCAAACUCCUACGGGAGGCAGCAGUGAGGAAUAUUGGUCAAUGGGCGAGAGCCUGAACCAGCCAAGUAGCGUGAAGGAUGAAGGUUCUAUGGAUUGUAAACUUCUUUUAUAAGGGAAUAAACGGCACUACGUGUAGUGUUUUGCAUGUACCUUAUGAAUAAGCAUCGGCUAACUCCGUGCCAGCAGCCGCGGUAAUACGGAGGAUGCGAGCGUUAUCCGGAUUUAUUGGGUUUAAAGGGAGCGUAGACGGGAUGUUAAGUCAGCUGUGAAAGUUUGGGGCUCAACCUUAAAAUUGCAGUUGAAACUGGCGUUCUUGAGUGCGGUAGAGGCAGGCGGAAUUCGUGGUGUAGCGGUGAAAUGCUUAGAUAUCACGAAGAACUCCGAUUG
RNAcentral lists this ribosomal RNA (694 nucleotides) under uncultured Bacteroidales bacterium. RNAcentral's name for it is "bacterial SSU rRNA". It matches the Rfam family "Bacterial small subunit ribosomal RNA", at positions 32 to 715 of the family's 1533-position model. The record is from RNAcentral. Lineage: Bacteria; Pseudomonadati; Bacteroidota; Bacteroidia; Bacteroidales.